This 268-nucleotide long non-coding RNA is filed under the name Chloebia gouldiae (Gouldian finch). RNAcentral describes it as "Erythrura gouldiae (Gouldian finch) lncRNA (ENSEGOG00005013059.1)". Lineage: Eukaryota; Metazoa; Chordata; Aves; Passeriformes; Passeridae. The record is from RNAcentral.
CAAACUCUGCAAGAUUUGGGGCCGCUCGUGCUGGCGUUGAACCGGACCACGCUGAGUUUGGUGGCCGAGGCAGCACGGGAGGAUUUCAGGAGGAGCAUCGCGGCCGCCUACAUCAGCCGGGGACAUUCCCAGCGGGAGAAAUCCCUGUCCCUCCUCCGGGCGCUUGCGGCAGCAUCGGCUGUCUCCCCGCCCAGGCGGCAGCGCAGCACGGACCGCUGCCUGUAUAAGCCCAUCACCUCCAAAAACAUCGAUGACAUCUUCAACAUCC